This 256-nucleotide ribosomal RNA is filed under the name uncultured bacterium. Its description in RNAcentral is "partial 16S ribosomal RNA". It matches the Rfam family "Bacterial small subunit ribosomal RNA", at positions 524 to 776 of the family's 1533-position model. The record is from RNAcentral.
UACGGGGGGGGGCAAGCGUUAUUCGGAAUUAUUGGGCGUAAAGGGCGCGUAGGCGGCUUGGCAAGUGGAUGGUGAAAUCCCUCGGCUUAACCGAGGAACUGCCGUCCAAACUGCUUUGCUUGAGACCGGGAGAGGUGAGUGGAAUUCCCAGUGUAGCGGUGAAAAUGCGUAGAUAUUGGGGAGGAACACCAGUGGCGAAGGCGGCUCACUGGACCGGUACUGACGCUGAUGCGCGAAAGCGUGGGGAGCAAACGGG